UAAAAAUGAAGCAAAAUUUGCUAUCAGUUUCGACCUGAUCUUAGGAGUCCCCGUUUUUAU
RNAcentral lists this transfer RNA (60 nucleotides) under Otobius megnini. RNAcentral describes it as "tRNA-Arg". Lineage: Eukaryota; Metazoa; Arthropoda; Arachnida; Ixodida; Argasidae. The record is from RNAcentral.